ACCAAUCCAUGGCCAAGACCAACCCAAAGCCCAACCCAAAGUCGAGACCAACCCAAAGUCAAGACCAACCAAUCCAUGGCCAAGACCGACCAAUGGUCAACAUCCACCCAUGGCCAAGACCAACCCAAAGUCAAGACCAAUCCAUGGCCAAGACCAACCCAAAGUCGAGACCAAUCCAAAGUCAAGAUCAACUCAACGACCAACCCAAAGUCAAGUCCAACCCAAGGCCAAGACCAAUCCAUGGCCAAGGCCGACCCAAAGGCCAACCCAAGGCCAAGACCAACCCAAAGUCGUGACCA
Long non-coding RNA from Haemorhous mexicanus (house finch), 299 nucleotides. RefSeq lists it as uncharacterized. Lineage: Eukaryota; Metazoa; Chordata; Aves; Passeriformes; Fringillidae. The record is from RefSeq and is a predicted model, not a curated record. The transcript has 3 exons.